CCUGGGUGGUUCUACCUUAGAGUCUCUUUUGUGGUUGCAGUCACACUGUGGCUGGAGCUAGGGCAGCUGGGGGCUGGCUCGGCAUCUCAAUUUUUCUAGUCUCAACGCCUCUGCAUGUGUCUCUCUGCAUGAGCCAGUUUAGGUUUCCUCACAGCAUGGCAGACCCAGGGUGGUGACACUUAUUACACUCAGGACUCCAGUGAGUCAGGCUGCAUGGCCUGCAUGACCCAGCCUCAGAAGUCACCAUAACAUCAUUGCCACCAUAGUCUGCCAGCUGAGCAGUCACCAAAGUGGGCCAGAUUCAAGGCUCUUGGAACACUCACUUGUGAGACGCUCCCUCUUGGACCCCAGUACCCGUGCCAAAGAAGCCCAAGCCAUGUGGAGAGGCCACACCUAGGUGCUCCAGUUGACAGUGCCAGCCGUACCUCCAGCCCACAGGUAGCGCCCACUGGUGUAUGGGACAGCGUCAUGCAAGGGAGUCUUCUUAGAUAUUCUAGCCCACUUGAGCCCUCAGAUGAGAUCAUGAUGCUGAGCACAAGAACUACCUCGCUGAAUCCCGAAAACCCACAGAAUCUUGACAGAUAAUAAAACGGCAUCUUUUUAAGCUA
Molecule: long non-coding RNA, 608 nt
Organism: Lemur catta (Ring-tailed lemur)
Lineage: Eukaryota; Metazoa; Chordata; Mammalia; Primates; Lemuridae
Exons: 2
Source: RefSeq, a predicted model, not a curated record